CCAGGGGGCUGGGCAGCCGCGUGUCGCAUUCCCGAACGGGAUCGGUGCGAGGAAAGUCCGGGCUCCACCAAGCAAGGGUGGCGGGUAACGCCCGCCGCGGGCAACCGUAGGGAAAGUGCCACAGAGAGCAUACCGCCGAUGGAGGGCGACCUCACAGGCAAGGGUGAAAGGGUGCGGUAAGAGCGCACCGGGACUUCGGCAACGCGGUCCGCAUGGCAAACCCCACCCGGAGCAAGGCCGAAUAGGGGCGGCGCGUUCUCUUCGGAGAGCAGGGGUGCUUAGCCCCUAGCGCAAGCUGCGACCGCCCGGGUUGGCUGCUCGAGCCGCGGAGCAAUCCGUGGCCCAGAUGAAUGGCUGCCCCCGCGGCGCCGGUCGUUUUCGCGAUACCGGCUGCGGGACAGAACCCGGCUUACAGGCCCCCUGGCAAC
Molecule: RNase P RNA, 428 nt
Filed under: Qipengyuania spongiae
Lineage: Bacteria; Pseudomonadati; Pseudomonadota; Alphaproteobacteria; Sphingomonadales; Erythrobacteraceae
Description: Qipengyuania sp. PHS-Z21 RNase P RNA component class A
Rfam family: Bacterial RNase P class A
About the family: Ribonuclease P (RNase P) is a ubiquitous endoribonuclease, found in archaea, bacteria and eukarya as well as chloroplasts and mitochondria. Its best characterised activity is the generation of mature 5'-ends of tRNAs by cleaving the 5'-leader elements of precursor-tRNAs.
Source: RNAcentral